GGAGGCAGAGGUGGGCCACAAUUAGGGCCUGGCUCCAGCCUGCCCCACCUGCUGCUCGGAGCCUGAUCUCAUCUCCAUGUUCCCCUGGACUUUUCCUGGCUCUGGCCACAACAUGGACAGCCUUGGAGCCAGCUCAGAGUGGGACCAUAUCUCACCCCCACGUGUGUUCUGGAGGACCUAGAGGGGAUCCCAGGCCCCUUCCCCAUUUGCCUGUCAGCACUGUCCCAGGUCACAAUCUAUGUGCAGCUGCAGGCUGGGGCCAGAGGUGACAUGGAUGGUAAGCUGCAUGUAUACCGAGGGCCACAGCACGGGGCCUGCCACUCAGUGUCUGUGCAGCAAAGGAAUGAACCAUGCGCCCUGCCUAGGACGGCUCAGGCAGGACUGUCACCUGUGCACUGAAAGCUGCAGUGGGGACAAGCAGCACUAGAGGAACUGAGGGGGCUCCUGCUCAGCCUGGGCUGGCAGCCAGGAAGCCUGGGCCCGUUGGGUACCAAUCUCCCACCCUGCCAGGGAGGAGGGAGGCAUUCGCUCUGGCCCCUGCUCACCUGCUCACCAACGCCCUUAGACCCUCACCAGAAACCUCUCCCCAUCUGGCCACCAGGGAGGCUCGCAGGUGCUAUCGGCUUCCUCAGGACAGCAGAGAGCAGCAGGCUGCCCUGUGAUGCACAGAUCUGUCCUGGGGCAGGGAAAGGUUCUCUCCUAUGCUCCAGGGAACUAAGCCUGGAGGGAAGCAAGCCAGAUGGGGAAGGCAGGUGUGGAGCCGGUCAGGUAGGCGAGGCGAGGCUGCAGGGGGAGUCCUGUAGGAAAGGUGAGGCUGCUGGAAGUAAUGGAGGCUGGCCCCAGGCAGGCAGUGAGCCAAAUGCCAGAAAUGGAAGUCGAGGGUACCAAGUGGCUCUGGUGCCCCAGCACAUGUGGCAGGGCUGAGGCUGUGCAUAGCUUCACCACCUGAAGUCUAGGUCCUGCCCAGAGGCUCCUGCUCCCCAGGUGAGCGGCCAGGACAAGGCCCAGAGAUGGCAGCAGGCAGCCGAUGCCUGGAGGGUGAGCUUCCUGCGAAUUCAAGUGUGGCCAGGUCGGGGGAGCCUGGGGUAGGAUGCGGGGGCCCAUAGGGACAUCGCCCCUGGUCUGAGCUCUGACACGUCACUCUGCCUGGACAACUGCCAGCAGCACCAGCAGCACCCCAAGCUGGACCUGAAGCCUGGCUCUGGGGGACCCUGUGCCACCUCCAGGACAGGUGAGAGGCUGCCUUGCUUCACAGUCCUGCCUUGAGCUUAGAGCCAACAUGUGUGCGCGUGCUUUGGCUGAAACAAGGUCUCCAGAGGCUGGCCUGUCACCCCUGCUGCAUACCCCAGGGAGCAAGGGCAAGGCCACUUGGGCCUCUUGGGGUGGAAAAACAGAGCUUCCUGCCCUCAGAGGUCACUGGGAUGGCCCUGACAUUCCCAGGGCCCAGCAGUCAAGCACACAGGUCCCUAGUAACAAACACACACACACACACACACACACACACACACCA
RNAcentral lists this long non-coding RNA (1510 nucleotides) under Marmota monax (woodchuck). The record is from RNAcentral. Lineage: Eukaryota; Metazoa; Chordata; Mammalia; Rodentia; Sciuridae.